GAUCUUAAAGGGGUCAUGUAUAUAAAAAUAUCCUGUAAGUUUCAGAACUCAAAGCUUCCUCAUUAGUCAAAAAAAGCUUUAACUGAAACUAAACUCAGAACUUUCGAAUUUUGUCACAUUAUCACAUUAUUGUCAUAGUGCCGUGUAUGUCAUGUAGUAGUAAAUAUGUGAGACGCAAGUACAGGAUUACUCAAGCAACAAUGCAGUGACAACUAAACCCCACAGUAAUAUCGAAGUAAGGAGAUGAUGUUCCUCAGCAGUCAACACUCUCAGAUAAAGCUUAUUGAGACUCAAUGAUCUUAGAUGUGGAGGGAGAGACAAGCUGGAGACAGAAGUCACUCACACACAGACUUGGAAACGGG
This is a long non-coding RNA of Megalobrama amblycephala (Wuchang bream), 362 nucleotides long. RefSeq lists it as uncharacterized. Lineage: Eukaryota; Metazoa; Chordata; Actinopteri; Cypriniformes; Xenocyprididae. The transcript has 3 exons. The record is from RefSeq and is a predicted model, not a curated record.